This 253-nucleotide ribosomal RNA is filed under the name uncultured bacterium. RNAcentral describes it as "partial 16S ribosomal RNA". It matches the Rfam family "Bacterial small subunit ribosomal RNA", at positions 524 to 776 of the family's 1533-position model. The record is from RNAcentral.
UACGUAGGGUGCGAGCGUUAAUCGGAAUUACUGGGCGUAAAGCGUGCGCAGGCGGUUUGGUAAGACAGAUGUGAAAUUCCCGGGCUUAACCUGGGAACUGCAUUUGUGACUGCCAGGCUAGAGUGCGGCAGAGGGGAGUGGAAUUCCGCGUGUAGCAGUGAAAUGCGUAGAUAUGCGGAUGAACACCGCUGGCGAAGGUAAAUCCCUGGGUCUGCACUGACGUUCAUGUCUGUAAGCGUGGGGAGCAAACAGG